AAGGGGUAUCCCAACCCUUUUACACUUACCAGAACACAUAAUAAUACCAAAAUAAAAGAACACCCAAACAGAGGAAGAUAUAUGUUGUUUACUGCUUAAGACUAGGGAACCUUACACCAGAAAACACCUUGGCUCUACUAGCUGCUAAAAGGAAGGCAUACAGCACCCACAAAAAGACCCUUCAGGGUUUCCCGAAGGGAAUAGGUACCUUCAGUACCAUAAAUCUUCCUCUCCGUCUUCCUAUAGCUCCAUAUUGGGCAUUGGUUCCACCCUUUAGGACUUACAUAUGGUCUUUUCAACAGACACAACUAAUGUCCACAAAACAAGAAGUAAGCAACUAAUCAGAUUUUCACGACCAAUUCCAAGAUUUCACGCAUCAGAACACAUAGAACCAGCAACUCCCUGUUACUGUUGUACAACAAAAGGCGGAGCAGAAGCUUAAAUAACUUAGAGCACCAGUAAAUUAGCGUAUGAACAUUGGUGUAGGAGUCGGC
RNAcentral lists this long non-coding RNA (494 nucleotides) under Phaseolus vulgaris (common bean). RNAcentral describes it as "long non-coding RNA (PVUL_LNC002211)". The record is from RNAcentral. Lineage: Eukaryota; Viridiplantae; Streptophyta; Magnoliopsida; Fabales; Fabaceae.